CCUACGGGAGGCAGCAGUGGGGAAUUUUGGACAAUGGGCGCAAGCCUGAUCCAGCCAUGCCGCGUGUGGGAAGAAGGCCUUCGGGUUGUAAACCACUUUUGUCAGGGAAGAAACGGUUUGAUCUAAUACAUCGGACUAAUGACGGUACCUGAAGAAUAAGCACCGGCUAACUACGUGCCAGCAGCCGCGGUAAUACGUAGGGUGCAAGCGUUAAUCGGAAUUACUGGGCGUAAAGCGUGCGCAGGCGGCUUUGCAAGACAGACGUGAAAUCCCCGGGCUCAACCUGGGAACUGCAUUUGUGACUGCAUGGCUAGAGUACGGUAGAGGGGGAUGGAAUUCCGCGUGUAGCAGUGAAAUGCGUAGAUAUGCGGAGGAACACCGAUGGCGAAGGCAAUCCCCUGGACCUGUACUGACGCUCAUGCACGAAAGCGUGGGGAGCAAACAGGAUUAGAUACCCUGGUAGUCCACGCCCUAAACGAUGUCAACUGGUUGUUGGACGGCUUGCUGUUCAGUAACGAAGCUAACGCGUGAAGUUGACCGCCUGGGGAGGACGGCGCGAGUAGUAACGACGAAGAGUAGACGCGNGAGAGNGCGACGACGACGACGAGGGAGGAGG
Molecule: ribosomal RNA, 616 nt
Filed under: uncultured bacterium
Lineage: Bacteria
Description: bacterial SSU rRNA
Rfam family: Bacterial small subunit ribosomal RNA (bases 1-542)
Source: RNAcentral